RNAcentral lists this ribosomal RNA (263 nucleotides) under uncultured bacterium. RNAcentral's name for it is "partial 16S ribosomal RNA". It matches the Rfam family "Bacterial small subunit ribosomal RNA", at positions 793 to 1055 of the family's 1533-position model. The record is from RNAcentral.
GUCCAUGCCGUAAACGAUGUCUACUAGCCGUUGGGUCUUUGAGACUUUAGUGGCGCAGCUAACGCGAUAAGUAGACCGCCUGGGAGGUACGGUCGCAAGACUAAAACUACAAAUAGAAUUGACGGGGGCCCGGCACAAGCGGUGGAGCAUGUGGUUUAAUUCGAUGCAACGCGAAGAACCUUACCUGGUCUUGACAUAGUAAGAACUUUCCAGAGAUGGAUUGUGCCUUCGGAGCUUACAUACAGGUGCUGCAUGGCUGUCGU